Molecule: ribosomal RNA, 422 nt
Filed under: uncultured Clostridium sp.
Lineage: Bacteria; Bacillati; Bacillota; Clostridia; Eubacteriales; Clostridiaceae
Description: bacterial SSU rRNA
Rfam family: Bacterial small subunit ribosomal RNA
Source: RNAcentral
UGGGGGAUAUUGCACAAUGGAGGAAACUCUGAUGCAGCGAUGCCGCGUGAGGGAAGAAGGUUUUCGGAUUGUAAACCUCUGUGGAGGGGGACGACAAUGACGGUAGCCGAGGAGGAAGCUCCGGCUAACUACGUGCCAGCAGCCGCGGUAAUACGUAGGGAGCGAGCGUUGUCCGGAUUUACUGGGUGUAAAGGGUGCGUAGGCGGAAGAGCAAGUCAGUAGUGAAAUCCAUGGGCUUAACCCGUGAACUGCUAUUGAAACUGUUCUUCUUGAGUGAAGUAGAGGUAGGCGGAAUUCCCGGUGUAGCGGUGAAAUGCGUAGAGAUCGGGAGGAACACCAGUGGCGAAGGCGGCCUACUGGGCUUUAACUGACGCUGAGGCACGAAAGCAUGGGUAGCAAACAGGAUUAGAUACCCUGGUAGU